RNAcentral lists this transfer RNA (86 nucleotides) under Candidatus Rokuibacteriota bacterium. RNAcentral's name for it is "Candidatus Rokubacteria bacterium tRNA-Ser". It matches the Rfam family "tRNA". Rfam says of the family: Transfer RNA (tRNA) molecules are approximately 80 nucleotides in length. Their secondary structure includes four short double-helical elements and three loops (D, anti-codon, and T loops). Further hydrogen bonds mediate the characteristic L-shaped molecular structure. tRNAs have two regions of fundamental functional importance: the anti-codon, which is responsible for specific mRNA codon recognition, and the 3' end, to which the tRNAs corresponding amino acid is attached (by aminoacyl-tRNA synthetases). tRNAs cope with the degeneracy of the genetic code in two manners: having more than one tRNA (with a specific anti-codon) for a particular amino acid; and 'wobble' base-pairing, i.e. permitting non-standard base-pairing at the 3rd anti-codon position. The record is from RNAcentral. RNAcentral also lists the same sequence under 1 other name. Lineage: Bacteria; Candidatus Rokuibacteriota.
GGAGGGAUGGCCGAGUGGUUGAAGGCGCCGGUCUUGAAAACCGGAGAGCGAUAGCUCCGUGGGUUCGAAUCCUACUCCCUCCGCCA